RNAcentral lists this ribosomal RNA (591 nucleotides) under uncultured Bacteroidota bacterium. RNAcentral describes it as "bacterial SSU rRNA". It matches the Rfam family "Bacterial small subunit ribosomal RNA", at positions 70 to 657 of the family's 1533-position model. The record is from RNAcentral. Lineage: Bacteria; Pseudomonadati; Bacteroidota.
CAGAUCUAGCUUGCUAGAUGCUGACGAGUGGCGCACGGGUGCGUAACGCGUAUACAAUCUACCUUUAACUGAGGGAUAGCCCAGAGAAAUUUGGAUUAAUACCUCAUAGUAUUAUAAUUAGGCAUCUUUUUAUAACUAAAACUUCGGUGGUUAAAGAUGAGUAUGCGUACUAUUAGCUAGUUGGUAAGGUAAAAGCUUACCAAGGCAACGAUAGUUAGGGGGCCUGAAAGGGUGAUCCCCCACACUGGUACUGAGACACGGACCAGACUCCUACGGGAGGCAGCAGUGAGGAAUAUUGCACAAUGGAGGAAACUCUGAUGCAGCCAUGCCGCGUGCAGGAAGAAUGCCCUAUGGGUUGUAAACUGCUUUUAUACAAGAAGAAACCUCGGUACGUGUACCGACUUGACGGUAUUGUAUGAAUAAGCACCGGCUAACUCCGUGCCAGCAGCCGCGGUAAUACGGAGGGUGCAAGCGUUAUCCAGAUUUAUUAGGUUUAAAGGGUCCGCAGGCGGAAUAUUAAGUCAGUGGUGAAAGCCUACAGCUCAACUGUAGAACUGCCAUUGAUACUGAUAUUCUUGAGUAUGGAUGAAG